RNAcentral lists this ribosomal RNA (830 nucleotides) under uncultured Bacteroidota bacterium. Its description in RNAcentral is "bacterial SSU rRNA". It matches the Rfam family "Bacterial small subunit ribosomal RNA", at positions 562 to 1396 of the family's 1533-position model. The record is from RNAcentral. Lineage: Bacteria; Pseudomonadati; Bacteroidota.
AAAGGGAGCGUAGGCCGGAGAUUAAGCGUGUUGUGAAAUGUAGUGGCUCAACCUCUGCACUGCAGCGCGAACUGGUCUUCUUGAGUACGCACAACGUGGGCGGAAUUCGUGGUGUAGCGGUGAAAUGCUUAGAUAUCACGAAGAACUCCGAUUGCGAAGGCAGCUCACGGGAGCGCAACUGACGCUGAAGCUCGAAAGUGCGGGUAUCGAACAGGAUUAGAUACCCUGGUAGUCCGCACGGUAAACGAUGGAUGCCCGCUGUUGGCCUGAAUAGGUCAGCGGCCAAGCGAAAGCAUUAAGCAUCCCACCUGGGGAGUACGCCGGCAACGGUGAAACUCAAAGGAAUUGACGGGGGCCCGCACAAGCGGAGGAACAUGUGGUUUAAUUCGAUGAUACGCGAGGAACCUUACCCGGGCUUGAAUUGCAGAGGAAGGAUUUGGAGACAAUGACGCCCUUCGGGGCCUCUGUGAAGGUGCUGCAUGGUUGUCGUCAGCUCGUGCCGUGAGGUGUCGGCUUAAGUGCCAUAACGAGCGCAACCCCUCUCCUUAGUUGCCAUCAGGUUAAGCUGGGCACUCUGGGGACACUGCCACCGUAAGGUGUGAGGAAGGUGGGGAUGACGUCAAAUCAGCACGGCCCUUACGUCCGGGGCUACACACGUGUUACAAUGGCAGGUACAGAGAGACGGUUGUACGUAAGUACGAUCAAAUCCUUAAAGCCUGUCUCAGUUCGGACUGGGGUCUGCAACCCGACCCCACGAAGCUGGAUUCGCUAGUAAUCGCGCAUCAGCCAUGGCGCGGUGAUACGUUCCCGGGCCUUGCACUCACCGCCCG